GGGUGAGUGGUGUAAUGGUAGCAUAUUUGACUGUGACUCAAUAGAUCCGUGUUCGAAUCACGGUUUACCCA
Tritrichomonas foetus is the source of this 71-nucleotide transfer RNA. It matches the Rfam family "tRNA". From Rfam's summary of the family: Transfer RNA (tRNA) molecules are approximately 80 nucleotides in length. The record is from Rfam. NCBI's taxonomy places the organism in Eukaryota, Parabasalia, Tritrichomonadida, Tritrichomonadidae.